Molecule: long non-coding RNA, 12469 nt
Filed under: Theobroma cacao (cacao)
Lineage: Eukaryota; Viridiplantae; Streptophyta; Magnoliopsida; Malvales; Malvaceae
Description: long non-coding RNA (TCAC_LNC005690)
Source: RNAcentral
GUCUUCUUCUUGUUCUUAUGUUUCUUUCCAUCACUAUCCCCAUACCCAUGACUCGCCUCUUGACUCAGCUCCACAGCACCACGAGUCAAGUUGAAUACACUCGGUUCUAGACUCGACUCGCCGGCACCUUCCACUGCGGUCUCAGACUUGGGUUACACUUACACAACAAGAGGGAUUCAUAUCCACCUCCCAUCAGACCUUGUAGUGGGAAGCCCCAAGCUUUAACCAUUGAAAUGUCUCUUUGUUAACUGGUUGAAUGCUCUUAUUGUAAUCAUAUUUGGUAUUGUCUUAUUGCCUUUCCUUAUCCUUUAGAUGAAUUAAAGCCUGGAGAGAUACUUUAAAGGUCAAAUAUUAAAGAGGCUAAGUAGAAGCUAAUUCUUAUCUAUCUUUCUUAUUUUCUUCUGCUGUUUUCUGGUUUCCUCUGUGUACAGUGUAUGAUAGAGCUGCUUUCUUCCUCUUGUUUGACAUAUUUGAAAUGAGUCAUAUUGGCUUGUAGGGCCACCUUUACAUGAUCCCGAGUUUAGAGCUUGAGAUCACUGCAAGAUGACAUUUUUGGAUGGCUCUUAAUGGGGCAAGCUUGGGUUUUACUAAUUGCUUUAGGAUUAGGACUGGAUGUAGUAUCUUGCCUAUUUAUGAUUCCCCCUUCCUGUUAUGGGUUUGUAGGGCCCACGCUCAGUUGAACUCUUCUGUGAUGAACUAAGCACAUGCUGAAACCCAGUAGAAUAGUUUCCAGCGAGCAUUCUAAGCAUUGUACAUAUUCUAUCUGUUUGGAUUAUUUUAGACGCCAAUUGUUAAUGUAAGACAUUAAUUGUUGUUUUUGAAUUUUGUUAGCUACUUAAUUUUAAUUUGAAUUUUUUUAACAUUCUGGAAACGCUCUUUGGCUUGACAUAUGUGGACAACAGAACAAUAAUUUUCAGGUUAGGCUCUUGACAUUUUCAAUUUCUUAUAUCCUCCAAAAUGAAUCCCGGAAAUGGCAACAAGGAUGGACUUUAUUCUUUCUUCUCAGGGACUACAAUGCACAUGCUGCUGCUGCCUGCAUGAAUCGGCUAGCUAAACUGAGGUAACCAAUUAUAACAAGACUUUGGUUGCCAAAUUUCAUCUGUCAUUGUUUCUUAAGUUCAUAUGUGAACAUUUUGGCUGUUUGAAUGACUCCAUGCUAAUGCAAGUUCUUCAUGUUUUUGUGAGGGCAAGUUCAUAAUUUUUCCAUUCUUUCGUGAAAAAUUUUCUUUAAAAUCUUAGUCUAGCGUAAUAUAACAUGGAUUUCGUACUGUUUAUAGCAAUCACAUGAAUAAUACAUGUUACUGUUUCUACAGAAUCUUUUUCACUUUCCAAUUUAUUUUGUUGCGUUUAAUGUAAUUUCAGGUCUUAAUUUGACUUUGUAUUCUCUUUGUUCUUCUGUUAAUAUAUUUUCUUUUUAUAUGCUUCUAUGCAGUUCUCGAUGGAUAGGGAAUCAUGGCUUUUCAAUUGGAAUUGAUGAUGUCCAACCGGGGAAAAGGUUGAAUGAUGAGAAAGCAGUAAAAAAUUCAGGAGGUCAUAAGAAAUGUGAUGAAGAGAUAUAGAUGGUCAAUGAAGGAAAACUAGAGCCUAAACCUGGUUGUGAUGCUGCUCAAACACUAGAAGCUAAUGUAAGUGCAAUAUUGAAUAAAAUUCGGGACAAAACGGGGAAGGUAAUGAUUGGGGCUAUGUUGUAGUAUUUUCUAAUUUCUAUUUGAACGUGUGAAAUGGUCACUGCUAGAAAACUUAGUUGUGUUCCUUUAAUCUUUUAAGUUUAUAUCAUCUUCCAUACACUUGGAACUAUGCAUUUGUUUUUAGAAUGAUGAUUACUUGAGGACUAUUUGGUUGAUGGUUUAUGAGAAUUGCUUUGAAACAGGUAUGCAUGAAAGAACUACGUUGGAGAAACAGUCCAUUGAUCAUGUCGCAAUGUGGUUCCAAGGGUUCUGCUAUAAAUAUAAGUCAAAUGAUUGCAUGUGUUGGUCAGCAAUCAGUUGGUGGUUGUCGUGCUCCUAAUGGAUUCGUAGAUCGUAGCCGUCCUCAUUUCCAUAGAGGAUCGAAAACCCCUGCUGUAAGUUUAUUUUACAUUGCUUUAGCUCUGAAAACCUAAUUUUCUUUGUUGAUUGUGCAAGUACUUAAGCUUAUAGAUUGAUUUUAGUGUCUUUCACAUAAAACAAGGAAAAAGGUUUAAUACUUCUCAGUGAGUAUUAUUUCUCAUGAUAUCCUGUAUUAUAUUAACAUGUCAUUGUUAUUUGGAAUAGCUUGUGUUAAGUUGAUAUGUGUAUAAGAUGGAGUAUAAUUUCUAAAUUUUUGAUGUCUGAAAUCUGUCCUAAAGUUCAGUAUUGGUGUUUAUUUUGUCAUUUUGUUGGUUUUUUUAAUGAAUGUUUAUUUAAAUUUCCAACUUUCACUCAAAGGGUUAUUGGUUGAGUUGUUCAUAUUGGUUCCUCACAUUCGUGCUAAAGAUUAUGAGUGAUUUACACUUAGAAACAUAUACUCUUUAUCUAGGUUUAGAGGACUAUUACACCAUAUGACACUGUUAUUUUUCUAAUUUUCAAUCUAGCAUAGGGUUUCUAGGGUUUGAUUCUUUGUGUUUGUUCUCUUUAAGUUAGUUGGCUGGUGACUAAUUACAUUCUGAAUCUAGUGUAAGGAAUAGUUUCAUUCUGUAUACAUUUUUAGGCUUUUACCAAUGAAACUAUGAGCUAAUUAGGAUGUUUAGGGCUUGAGGCAUUGUCGUUGCUGGGCAACCCUCUCUUACAGUGGUUUUCUGUUAUUAAAAAUAUCUUUGUCUUAUCCAUGGCACUGUGAUAGUUGAAUUAACUUCAACUUAGCCUUGGUUUCCUCAUUCUCCAAACCCUUGAAUCUAUUCGUAGCCUUGAGACCCUUCAACAACCAUUAAGCAAACAACCUGGGAACCUAUAAUGAAAGCUGCUGUCCCGAUCAUUCCUGCAACUUAAUCCUCUGCUUCCAGCAAAGCUAUAUCAAUACUUACACUUUCCACCAUCUGUUUGAGUUCUAUAUUUCAAACCAUUUCUUCCAAAUAAAAAACUUGAAUAAUCAAGUGUAUUCAAAGCUCUAUUUGUUUUAACGUAAAAUAUUUUUCAAAAAAUAUUUUCAGGACGUAUGCUUGUUUAGAAGACAGAAAAUUCAUUCCAAAUGUAAAAUAUUUUAUGGGUCAAUGGGAAAUACACCUGUUGUCUACGUAAAAUGUCUUAUGCCCCUUAAGGGGCAUAAGACACUUUCUAGAGAACAAAAAAAAACAAAGAAAGAACUACACAAAUUGCAAAUGAAGAAAAUAAGAUUUCUUAGGAUUAAGAGAAAUAGGGAUAUAAAAUGUUUUACAUUUAAAAUAAAUUUUUUGUCUUCCAAACACGUAUAAGUCUUGAAAAUAUUAUUUGAAAACUAUUUUACAUCAAAACGAACGAAUCCUAACUUAACUAUUAUUUGAAUUGACUAAUCGAUGGCCUUAACAAUGGUCAAAGGACUUAGACUCUUUCGUCUAAAUGAAAUGAUGAGUUUUGCUUCUCAAGUGAAACUCUACGUUUUAUUCUUUUCUCUAUGUUUAGUCCAAUCUACUGCCCUUUCAUUUCUUCUUGGAUCAGGGACCUUUGUUCCUUGCUUAUUCAUAUCAUCUCUAAACGUAUUCAUCAUCAUACUAUCUAAUAAAACCCAAGGGCAGAGCUAUUGCUAAUUUAUCAAGACAAUUUACUUUAAAACUUUUAUCAAAUUAGCAAAACAUCAUAUAAGUGUACAUGGUCAACAAGUAAUCUUGUAGUGAGUGAGUUAUUGUCUAAUCUUAUCCAAGGAAAUCUAGUGUAGAGUUUAAUUGAAAAUGAAAAAAAUUAAAGUAGCCAGGCUAAACUAGUGAACUAAGCUAAAAAAAAUACAAGUUAAUUGAGUUUGAAAACAAUGGGGAAGUACCUAGGAUUAUGGUUUCAAUUAAUGCUUCAUUUGGAGUUAAUAUUAACUAAUUACCUAAUUUUAUGGAAAACUAAUGCUAGUCUAAGAUCCUUAAGAAUGAAAGAUUCUCCGUCAAGCUAUCGUAUAAUGGCCUAACUUAAUUUAAUUCUUUAUAUGUCUACAGUUAAUUAAUUAAACUAACUUUCUUAAGUAUAAGUCAUAAAAACUGACCGUAUAUAAUUAAUACUUGUAUGUUUAUCCUAUUAAUAAAUCACCCAAUUAAGUUCUAAUUGCAAAUUUGCCUUCCAAGCUCUUUUGCACCUUCUCCAACAUAUAGCACAAUCAAUAGAAAGGAUAAAUAAGACUUAAUAAUAUGAAAAUAAAUUCAAAUUACUUAUUUAAACUACUAAGGCAUGCAUACAAUAAAUACUAAUAAAAAUGUAAAAAUAAUAUCUAAAUUAGUUAAAAACAAGAGGACAUUGAUCAUUUUUAGGCUCAAAAGAAUGUAAGAUAACUCUAUAAAAUAUAAUUAUCAAGAGCUAACCAAUUUUUAUUGAGAGCGCAAAAGACAGAGGACAUUGGUCAUUAUCACUCAGUUCACUUUACUCCAACUAGAAGAAACGUCUUGAAGAUUUUUUUGGGCCAUUCUUUUUUGAAAAUUGACAUAAUUUUUCCUCUAAAGAUAGUACUAGUAAUUAUAUGUUUGCCAAGGAAACAAAUUGUUUCGCUAUCACUUAACAUUAUAUUAAACCAUAUAUCUCUUUCUUUCUCAUUUAUAAACAAAUGACAUAAUAUUUAAAAAAAUUUAUGAGGCUUUAUAACUUUUAUUACGUUCAACUAAAUUUUUAUAUUUUUAUUUUGAGCCAAAUAUGUUCAUAUAUUUUUAUUUUUAAUUAAAUAAACUCAUACGAUUAAUAGUUGACUUAUAUAAAAUGCCACUUGUCAUUGUCAUUGUACGUCAUGUGGCGUUAACGUGGCACUAACAUAAUGUGUUGAUAUAUUGUAAUGAAUGAUUAUAUGACAUAUUUAUGUGGCAUAAUAAUAUGAUCAUAUCGAAUUUUUCAUCCUCUACAUUAACGUUACAUCAACGCUGCAUAAGUAUAAAAUAACAAUAGAUAUUUGAUUAAUUGCUAUUAGUCAACAAUUAGGAUCAUAAAGGAUUUAUUUGAUUAAAAAUGAAAAUAUAAGGGUUUGAUUAAACGCAAUAUAAGAAUAAAGACUAAUGUAAAAUUAUUUUGAAUAGUUUAGGAACUUUUUUAUAUAUUAUGCUUAAAUAAAUUUAAUAUGAAAUUAUUGAUUAAGAUGCCAUUUUAUUUCGCAACUUCAUGUGUGCAUUAUAUACUUGUAUUUAUUUAUUUUUAUCCUAAAUAUGAUUUUCUUGCUCCUUUAUUACAUUUUUUAAUUAAUCAUAUCUCAUUGGAAGAAUCAAAGGGUACAAAAUGUUUACAUACAGCUACCUUAACUAAUCUAAAGGAGAGAGAAAAAUAAUCCUAAUUAAUUACAUCUUUUAAGUAACUUAACUAAUAUUUGAAUUGACUAAUUAGUAGCCUUAACAACGGUCGAAGGACGUAGACUAUUUCCUCUAAAUGAAACGAUGAGUUUUGCUUCUCAAGCGAAACUUUGCGUUUAUUCUUUUCUUUUUGUGCGAUGUCCAGUCUGCUGCACUUUCAUUUCUUCAAAACCAAAUGUCUUUGAUCUUAUAGGUUAUGUUUGAUAUGUUCUUGAAAAUGUGAUUGUCGAUAAGGUAACUUUAAAGCGUUUAAUUUAAAAUGAAAAAGUGAUUAUUGAAAAAAAUAUUUUUUUUUUGUAAUUAGAGAAGGGAGAAUUCGAACCUUAUUUUUUAGGUAGUAUUAAUUUGAAAGCAUUAUACUAAGAAUGCAUGUAGUGUAAAUUUACAAAAUUUUCAAUUAUGUAUGAAAAUAUAAAAUUGAAUAAAUUUAUAUUUUUUUAAUAUAAAGUUUUAACUUUUCAACUUUAUCCUUAAAAUAAUAAAUAAUAAUAUGAUAAAAAUAACAUAAUAUUUUAAUAUUAAAAUAUAUAAAAUUACUAAAUAUUUAUUGUUACUAAAUAUUUACUUGAGAGGGGUAUAUUUGUCCAAUCCAUUCUUUUGUAAAUGUAUCUUUCCUACGGUCUUGCAAUGUCAUUACAUUGUAAGAGAACCACAUUAAACGUGAUAAGGCGAUCAUGUCCAAUUAAAAUCCCUGUAAAGUGCUUUAACUUCCUCAAUUAUCAAAGGGGACCAUAGACUUCCAAAUACAUUAUACAACUGCUAUUCCGACGCUAGUACAAUCUUAUAUACUACAUAUACAUGAAAGACCUAUUUAAUUCAACUUCUUGACGUACAACUUCCAAAGCUGAAGAGCGUGAGAUAGAUAAGGAAACCUUAGCUGAGAGUUUUACACUUCUUUCCUUCCCGCAGUAGUGUAAGGGUAAGAGUUUUACACUAGAUUCGAUUUUCGUUUUUUCCUGUAAACGUGGAAACCUAGAAAGUACCAUCUUCGAAUUUUUGCAGCGUCACAAACUAAUUGCUACGCAAACUGUUGUGCCAGAUCAGAGGUUGAAGAUGAAGUUCCCUUCACAAUCUUUUGAGUUUGGGCAGCAACCGAGCAGUUCUUUCGAUGGGAAAAGGACAUCAUCUAGAUCUGCUGGGAUUUUGAAACGGACUUCAGCUGCUUACAAGCGUGGACCAGAAGGGGUGAUUGUGGACAGUCGAACUGAGAAGAGGCGAAAGAUGGAUCGUAGCAUGGCUCAGCAGUGUCCUGCCCAUGUUGAUGAAUCAAGACGGAGUUGUCCUAAAAGCCAGCUAUCCCGAUGUUACUCUUUCCCCAAGAAGUCAAGGCCAUCUGAGGAGAAGUUUUUCAAGGUGCCUUUGAAUGCAAGAGCAACAGAAGUCGAGCGUCCUAAACCCGCACAGAAGUGUGUUAGCAGGUUGGCAAGAAAAAACUUUCAAAAAGGCGCCAGUAGUGGUGGGCGUGCUCAUCGAUCUAUCAAUGCCAAGCCACCAUUGAGUCCAGGUGCCUGCAGAUGCAGCUCAUGUGGCAGCAUUAAGUGUCAAUGUAGUCUUCCAAGUGAUUCAAACCAUGCAUCUUCCAGCGAUGUGACUUCAGAAAGAUCAUUGGGUGGAGAUCUUAGAGUGUGCAGAACUUAUGCCUCUAAACUGGAUUGCCAGGCCAAAAGGACAAUGACAUCACCAAUGAGCGAGUCUGAUCCAGAUUCUGACGGAGCUGUAAGUUCUCUGUAUGAUGAGAACGUUUGUCUGAUUUCUCAACUUACAACUCCUGCAACAGAUGCUGCUUCUGGGGAAGGAUUGUUAACUCCUAGUUUUGACGUGCAAAUGUCAUCGAAGAAGGCUUUCCGAGCUGCAAUGCUGAAAAGCCGUUAUGCAGACACCAUUUUGAAAGCUAAGCACAUACUUGAUCAUGGUGAGAAAGCUGAUCCAGUGAAGAUGCAGCAGCAAAAGGGAAAAUUGGAAAGAAGGCAGCGAGAAGAAAAGGCAAAGAUUGAAGCUCAAAUCAGAGCUGCUGAAGCUGCAGCAAAAAUGAAGGCAGAGGUCGAGUUGAAAAAGCAACGGGAAAGAGAAAGAGAAGCUGCUCGGAAUGCAUUGCAACAGAUGGAGAAAACAGCUGGGAUUGAACUGAAUGUGGAGAUUGAAAAGGAGUUCGAGAUGCUGAUUGGAUUCCCUAUUUAUAAUAACUGGCAUGGUAGCAAAAAUGGAUCUGGAAAGGUGACUGGAGCUUAUGGAGGAACUCUGUGAAUUCACUGCAUCAGCUGGGUUUGUUCAUCGAAGAUGAGCAUGCAGUUUCUUUCUUCUUGAUUAUUAUUUGUUCCAGCUCCUUGUUAAUAGUUUUUUCCUUUUCGUGGGGGACAGGAAAAAAAGAAAUUAGUAUUUGUAAAUGAGGUACUUUUUUACGGAAUUGGAAUUUUUGUAAACAAACAGUACAUAGUUAUAUUUGAAAAUUAUCAGCCUGCUUCCAUUAACACCGUAGCAUCAACAAAACACCCACUCAAUGCAUGAUCACACAUUGAGACUAACAGCCAAUUCACCAGCAAGAACAAACCCACAAACUCAUCCACUCACAUCAUCACAAAAGGCAGAAAACAAAACAAAAAAAACUUACUGAAACACUCUGAAGGACCUCACUUUGUAGCUGGACUCCUCCCUUUGCAAGAUCAUCUGCUCAUGAUGUUCUUAGGUACUCCCUUGAUAUCAUAGGUGGAUCCUUUGUGCACCUUUGCAAUAUGGAAGAAUACAUCUGUAUCUAUAAACAUAUAAACUGAAAUAAAAAAUGAAGAAUUAAUAUUACUAAGCUUACACUAUUUUGGCACAAUUUAAACUGUGUAAAUGAAGCAGUGCAUAAUCCCAAAUGGUGAAAUGAUAAGCCUGAUGCCUUAAGUUUGAAUAAAUGCAUUGGCCUAAAACAUUUUGAGAUCAGAUAAUCUGUCAAAACCUUAUAUGCUUCCCCGGAAGACAAAUUUGUGCCAAAAAACAAUGAGUCAACUUCUUUGUCUUUAUCAAGUUAUAUGUUUCCCAUAUGCUUCAAGUCAUACACAAACUUUUUUUUUUUUUGAAGAUUUGUCAUUGAUCUUCCAUUCCAUCUGGGAAAAACCCAUCAAAAAGGUAACAUAACAUCAAGAGCUAAACAAAUAAGGACCGUAAGAACUUCAACCUCGUCGACCCUGUUGAAAGGAACACUAUCAGUGUACCAUCAGGAGGUUGGGUGGCAUAUCGUUUUCUUGCAGACAAUCCAGGUGGGUAGAAAUAAUAACAUGCUGUACUUAGUAUUCUUGUUUUGUUUAUGUUUUUAGCUGAUAAUGACAACAAGUUACACGUGCCAACAGGGGUGUGGUUCAUGCAUUGCCACCUGGAAGUCCAUACAAGCUGGGGCUUGAAGAUGGCAUGGAUCGUCCUGGAUGGAAAUCUACCCAAUCAGAAGGUGCUUCCACCCCCAGCAGCUCUUCCCAAGUGCUGGGGAACCCCUCUCUAGAUAGAAUUUGCCUUAUCAUUUUCCUUUUUAAACCUAAUUUUGAUUCUUUUUUUCUUGACCCUUUUGUCUUUGGCCGGUCAAUUCUGAAGAUUCACUAGGGAGAGAAAGAAUGGUGUGGGAAAAUUUUGUAACAUUCAGAUCCAAGAUGUCACUGAAUUAGGUCCAAUAAUAUCUCAAAUAAAAAAAAAAUUCAGCCCUACUAGAAAGUAACAACAGCUUUGUUAAUUAUGGUUUUGGAGUUUGUGCAUCUUUGUCUUGGAACGUUGAAUCUUUCUUGUUUCAUUGAAAGUUCAGAAACUGCAAUGUUUUCUCUGCCAGCAUUCACAUAGUUUCUUUGACUAAACCGGUCUAUGUCGUAUUGUCAGCUCCCAAUAAUAGGCAAAUGUUUACCGCCAGGACUUCCUCCCUUGGGCCUUGGUAGUUGCUCUGUUGCCGUCCUAGAGGCAGCUUCCUAGCUACUCUCCACCUCGUCUUUUACAUUGUUCAUUUUAAGACAUUCACCUACUCCUAAUGGAGUCCAUUCAUUAAAGAAAUACCAAAAAUUGGUAUCAGAAUGAAGUAAAGCCAAAAGCAUAGGGAUUUAGAUCUCCAUGGUCAAUGAUAAUCUUCUAUGCUAAAUUCAACAUUAUUCACAUAGAAUAGAGACUAAACUCAGAAUUUUAUCUCUAAUAAUUGUCUAUGGAGUGCCUGUCAAAGUUGACUGAUCGAUGAGAACCAGGGGCAAAAGGCUAUGACAUCUUUUUCCAUAUAAACAAAUGAAAUGAGACGGUGUUGUAGGUGAGUGCCGGCAUCUGCACAAGUGCAAAUCCCUCGUGAAUCUGCACAAAGAAGGAAAGAAAUGAGUUUUAAUGAAACCAGACACCAAGACAAGAACAAAUAUCUUGUUUGUAGAUAAUAAUCUAAUAUCUACCAUUGUCCCUUAUAAAUACCUCUCUUGAAACCUGCUACUCAACACUCAACAACUACAGCCAUGAAUUCACAUAUGCUUGUUCUUCCUCUUAUUCUUCAAAUUUUCAUUGCUCUGUUUUCCUCAAACCCUGCAGUAGCAGCUAACUCAAAACUUUUUAGAGAAUAUAUAGGAGCUGAGGACAAGGGUGUUACGUUUUCAGAUGUACCCAUCAAUUCACAAGUAGAUUUUCACUUCAUCCUCUCCUUUGCUAUUGACUACACAAACUCUUCAAUUCCUUCCCCCACCAAUGGUGAUUUUGGGGUUUACUGGGAUACAGAAAACCUCAGCCCUUCUCAUGUAUUCUCCAUCAAAAGCCAGCAUCCGAAUGUCAAGGUAGCUAUGAGUCUUGGGGGUGAUACGAUAAAUGAUGAGCAUGUAUACUUCAGCCCCAAAACAAUCAAUUCUUGGGUUCGAAAUGCCAUUCAUUCCAUAACAGAGAUAUCAAGAAAGUACAAUUUGGAUGGAAUAGACAUCGACUAUGAACACUUCCAUGCAGAUCCUGACACAUUUGCUGAGUGCAUUGGACGGCUUCUUCUGUUCCUCAAACAAAAUGGGGUGGUGUCGUUUGCAUCAAUAGCACCCUAUAAUGAUGAUUCCGUGCAACCGCAUUACUUGGCCUUGUGGAGUAAGUAUGGGCAUCUAAUAGACUAUGUCAACUUUCAGUUUUACGCUUACCAUAAGGGGACAACUGUUUCUCAAUUUUUGAAAUACUUUCAUGAACAGAGCUCUAACUAUAGAGGUGGUAAGGUCUUAGUAAGCUUUGGUACUGAUGGAAGUGGAGGUUUGUCUCCUCAAAAUGGGUUUUUCAAGGCCUGUCGCAGGCUUAAGCGUCAGGGCAAACUUCAUGGCAUAUUUGUUUGGUCAGCGGAUGACUCCAAGAAAGCUGGUUUCCUCUAUGAGAAGCAGUCACAGACCUUGUUGGCCAGAUCAACAUGAUCUAUCUCAUACAUAGUUUUUUCCCCGUUAGAGAUGAAUAAAACAGAUGUAUUGAAAAUUUAGUUAUAUGUGUAGCAGAGAAAGGUAACUCUAUGACUAGUGAGGUAAGGGAAAUUUCUGAAGGUUCACAUGAUCGGACAAUAGAAGUCAAUGGAAACAAAGGCAAGGCAAUCACAAUGAAGUCCAUCUACUCAACACUAACUUCCCCAAGAAAGAUUUUUGAAAGAGAGAAGACAGAGUUGAAAACGAUUACCAAACCAGUGGCCUACUCCAAAAUAUAACUGAGCAAUUAUUUGCAUGCUAGAUAAUCUAUCAAGAACCAGAAGUUGACAAAAAUAUUUGCUGUAAAAUUCUUCUGAUACCAAACUAUUGCUAGAUUAGAUAGCAACAUUAAGGCUCAGAAGAAUACCUAACAUUUAUCACCAAGAAAUGCAGUGUGAUUACUAUAGCAGACACUUGCAUGCUUCAGAUGCCAACAAUUGAUCAAUUAGCCUGGCUUUCAGCGGUCCCCUGACCCAGGAAUUAGUUUUGGCACUCAUGUAACGAUCAUUCUUCAUACAUUUUGACAUUUGUCAUCAGAGUUCCCAGUUGUUACAUUGGUCAUCUUUCGAGCUAAGAGCUACUGAAAGUCACUAACAAAAUAUGCUUCCUAUCAGCUUUUACAUGCUGUUUCUAUUUCAGUUUUAGCAAAAUGUAAGUUUUCACAAGAAUCUGCAAGUCAUCAGGCAGGAAGGUCUCAUCAAGCUAGAAGAAGAUCAAACAUGGGACAUUGGUGUUGUCACUGUUUUGAAGCCCCAUUGGCUGCAGAUCAAUUAAAACGACAAUAAUCAAAUACCAGUGACUAUGCUCUGGAGAUUAACCAUCAAUUGAUUUCAUUCAUUCUAAAUUAACAAACAUAUUUGCUCAACAUUAUAAUGGAAAAGAUUAUCCAAAAAUGAUUACUCAUUUUAACAGCGGAGCUAAGAAUUGCCUCCAAAACAAAACCUUCCAGGCUGCCAUAAGAAACAACAACAACAAUAAAAGUUGCUACAUUGCCUCAAAUCAAUCCAUUAUCCACUUUGUUUUUAAUCUUCUUCUUCUUCUUCUUCUUCUUCCUUGGCUCUGAAGAAGAAUCAUUUUCAAUUCCCUCCUCAAUCUCUCUACUCUUCCGUUUCUUCUUGUUCUCCCCUUGCCCUUCUGCUUCAUGUCUCAUUUCACCCUCAAUUUUCACCCCAUUUCCCUCAAUUUUCAUCCCAUUUGCCAGAACAUUUUCAAUUUUUCGGCCACUUUUCUCCUUCUUAGGCUUCUUUUUCUCACUUGGUUCAUCAAUUACCAUUUUUUCCUCGUCUUCCUCAAAGUUACCAAUCUCAUUCUUCUCCUUCUUCCUCUUGCUCUCUCCAUCCUCAAUAAGACUUUUGCCUUCACCAUCCCCGACAUUACCAACCUCACCCUUCUCUGUCUUCUUCUUGUUCUCAUGCUUCUUUCCAUCACUAUCCCCAUACCCAUGACUCACCUCUUGACUCAGCUCCACAGCACCACGAGUCAAGUUGAAUACACUCGGUUCUAGACUCGACUCGCUGGCACCUUCCACUGCGGUCUCAGACUUGGGUUACACAACAAGAGGGAGUCAUAUCCACCUCCCAUCAGACCUUGUAGUGGGAAGCCCCAAGCUUUAACCAUUGAAAUGUCUCUUUGUUAACUGGUUGAAUGCUCUUAUUGUAAUCAUAUUUGG